Molecule: long non-coding RNA, 1224 nt
Organism: Sebastes umbrosus (honeycomb rockfish)
Lineage: Eukaryota; Metazoa; Chordata; Actinopteri; Perciformes; Sebastidae
Exons: 2
Source: RefSeq, a predicted model, not a curated record
AAUACCUGUAUUGAUCAACCAUUGUGAGAGUGAUCCGUCUAAAACCCAGAGCAGCCUAGAGCUCAGAGAUGGGAGGAGCGAACGAGAGAGGCUGCAGAGAGGAUGGAGAAAGAGAGAGAGUCUGCAGCCACAGUGAAAGGGAGAAGAGGUACAAGGGAAGAGAAGCGAAUCUGAGAGAGAAGCAGACGCAGAGCUGAAGGCAGGUGGGGAGGCAGGUUUCGGACAACGCUGCCAGGCCACUGGGACUGGGGAGAAACCUAUGGUAAUUGCUUUCUCAUUAAGAGAGGGAGGGUGAGGGCGACUAAUGACUACUGCUUUAAGUAUGCGGAGUAAAACUCUGCAGUUUACCUUGGCAACAACAUGGGAGCACAAGGCCCAGCACAUACCUGGAAAUUCCUGAGAAAAUCAAAGACCGGAUGAAAUAGCAUUGGAUGCAAAGAUCCAUGGAGGAAGUAACAGGAACAUUUCUGAUCAAGGCAAAGUUGGAUGUAUAAUCCAACACUGAUUUCAAGCUCAAAGAUGAAAAUGGCUGCAAGAUGGUAGUGUAAAUAACAGAUUGUUGCUGUUUUGAACUGGUAUGGAUAAAGCUAGCUUUGGGAUGUUUUUGGACAAUUCGUUGGAUUGGAUUUAAUUUUUAUUAUAUUUAGAAUUUUGUUGGAAUUUUACUGUACAGACGACCGACUGGACCGCUCAACAACAGCCAUGAAUGUUGGAUUCAAGGCCCCAAGCUGCGCUGCACUGGAGGUGGAGUCAAAAGCCUUCUGGGAUCGUCCCCCACAAUGCUAAAGGGAAAUCAAGUUUCCAUUGAUUGAUUUUAAAUGUGACUUCCUUGUGCAUAAUUGUGGAUUUGAGGGAAGAUAUAUUCCUCCAAACUGUGGGGGAGUACUUUGAUGCUCAUAAACUCACUUUACACUGGAGCUCUGGUGUGGGAACACUCGGAGAAAAAGGCCUACAGUCUACAGGUUCACUCCUCUGUGAACAUGAAUUAAAGGAAUGAACAUUCUGUACCAAGAAGCACCGCCACCUACAUACAGUUUUGUUAAAUAAACUGUAAAACAAAGAAACGUUUUCGUGUGGUACACAAGACAAAUGGCUCUAAGUAUGUGUGGCUGUACACAUCCUAAUAACAGUACACUGUUGUGACAGUUAGUAUACAAGAAAUUAAUGACAUGAAAUGAUCCAAUAUGGUUGCCAACAGGCUUCAAUUAAACUGUGAUUUUGGAA